This 71-nucleotide transfer RNA is filed under the name Planctomicrobium piriforme. It matches the Rfam family "tRNA". Rfam says of the family: Transfer RNA (tRNA) molecules are approximately 80 nucleotides in length. Their secondary structure includes four short double-helical elements and three loops (D, anti-codon, and T loops). The record is from Rfam by way of RNAcentral. Lineage: Bacteria; Pseudomonadati; Planctomycetota; Planctomycetia; Planctomycetales; Planctomycetaceae.
UGCCCGAUAGUGUAACGGUAGCACGAAAGAUUCUGAUUCUUUUAGUCUAGGUUCGAAUCCUAGUCGGGCAA